GCCGUUUUAGCUCAGUGGUAGAGCACUUCCAUGGUAAGGAAGGGGUCGCUAGUUCAAUCCUAGUAAACGGCACCA
This 75-nucleotide transfer RNA is filed under the name Helicobacter pylori. RNAcentral's name for it is "tRNA-Thr". It matches the Rfam family "tRNA". From Rfam's summary of the family: Transfer RNA (tRNA) molecules are approximately 80 nucleotides in length. Their secondary structure includes four short double-helical elements and three loops (D, anti-codon, and T loops). Further hydrogen bonds mediate the characteristic L-shaped molecular structure. tRNAs have two regions of fundamental functional importance: the anti-codon, which is responsible for specific mRNA codon recognition, and the 3' end, to which the tRNAs corresponding amino acid is attached (by aminoacyl-tRNA synthetases). tRNAs cope with the degeneracy of the genetic code in two manners: having more than one tRNA (with a specific anti-codon) for a particular amino acid; and 'wobble' base-pairing, i.e. permitting non-standard base-pairing at the 3rd anti-codon position. The record is from RNAcentral. RNAcentral also lists the same sequence under 2 other names. Lineage: Bacteria; Pseudomonadati; Campylobacterota; Epsilonproteobacteria; Campylobacterales; Helicobacteraceae.